UACAGAGGGGGCAAGCGUUAUUCGGAAUUAUUGGGCGUAAAGGGCGCGUAGGCGGCCUGGCAAGUGGAAGGUGAAAUCCCUCGGCUUAACCGAGGAACUGCCCUCCAAACUGCUUGGCUUGAGUCCGGGAGAGGUGAGUGGAAUUCCCAGUGUAGAGGUGAAAUUCGUAGAUAUUAGGAAGAACACCGGUGGCGAAGGCGGCCCACUGGUCCGGUACUGACGCUGAGGUGCGAAAGCGUGGGGAGCAAACAGG
This 253-nucleotide ribosomal RNA is filed under the name uncultured bacterium. Its description in RNAcentral is "partial 16S ribosomal RNA". It matches the Rfam family "Bacterial small subunit ribosomal RNA", at positions 524 to 776 of the family's 1533-position model. The record is from RNAcentral.